Small nuclear RNA from Talpa occidentalis (Iberian mole), 108 nucleotides. The record is from RefSeq and is a predicted model, not a curated record. NCBI's taxonomy places the organism in Eukaryota, Metazoa, Chordata, Mammalia, Eulipotyphla, Talpidae.
AUGCUGGCUUUGACAGCAUAUACACUAAAAUUGGAAAAAUACAGAGAUUAAUUAGCAUGGCCCCAGAACAAGGAUGACAUUCGAAUCCUUGAGGCAUUCCAUAUUUUC